This 539-nucleotide ribosomal RNA is filed under the name uncultured Brevundimonas sp. Its description in RNAcentral is "bacterial SSU rRNA". It matches the Rfam family "Bacterial small subunit ribosomal RNA", at positions 19 to 604 of the family's 1533-position model. Lineage: Bacteria; Pseudomonadati; Pseudomonadota; Alphaproteobacteria; Caulobacterales; Caulobacteraceae. The record is from RNAcentral.
CUGGCUCAGAGCGAACGCUGGCGGCAGGCCUAACACAUGCAAGUCGAACGGACCCUUCGGGGUUAGUGGCGGACGGGUGAGUAACACGUGGGAACGUGCCUUUAGGUUCGGAAUAGCUCCUGGAAACGGGUGGUAAUGCCGAAUGUGCCCUUCGGGGGAAAGAUUUAUCGCCUUUAGAGCGGCCCGCGUCUGAUUAGCUUGUUGGUGAGGUAAUGGCUCACCAAGGCUACGAUCAGUAGCUGGUCUGAGAGGAUGACCAGCCACAUUGGGACUGAGACACGGCCCAAACUCCUACGGGAGGCAGCAGUGGGGAAUCUUGCGCAAUGGGCGAAAGCCUGACGCAGCCAUGCCGCGUGUAUGAUGAAGGUCUUAGGAUUGUAAAAUACUUUCACCGGUGAAGAUAAUGACUGUAGCCGGAGAAGAAGCCCCGGCUAACUUCGUGCCAGCAGCCGCGGUAAUACGAAGGGGGCUAGCGUUGCUCGGAAUUACUGGGCGUAAAGGGAGCGUAGGCGGACAUUUAAGUCAGAGGUGAAAUCCCG